GUCCAGGGGUGGGAAUCGAACCCAUCCGGGCAGAUGCCAUGUCCACUAGGCUACCCUGGA
This 60-nucleotide transfer RNA is filed under the name Cordylochernes scorpioides. RNAcentral describes it as "tRNA-Ser". Lineage: Eukaryota; Metazoa; Arthropoda; Arachnida; Pseudoscorpiones; Chernetidae. The record is from RNAcentral.